RNAcentral lists this transfer RNA (77 nucleotides) under Desulfovibrio sp. RNAcentral's name for it is "tRNA-Arg". It matches the Rfam family "tRNA". From Rfam's summary of the family: Transfer RNA (tRNA) molecules are approximately 80 nucleotides in length. Their secondary structure includes four short double-helical elements and three loops (D, anti-codon, and T loops). Lineage: Bacteria; Pseudomonadati; Thermodesulfobacteriota; Desulfovibrionia; Desulfovibrionales; Desulfovibrionaceae. The record is from RNAcentral.
GCGCCCGUGGCUCAGUUGGAUAGAGCGUUGGCCUCCGGAGCCAAAGGCCGCAGGUUCGAAUCCUGCCGGGCGCGCCA